GAUGAACGCUAGCGGCAGGCUUAAUACAUGCAAGUCGAGGGGCAGCAGGGAUAGCAAUAUUCGCUGGCGACCGGCGCACGGGUGCGUAACACGUAUACAAUCUGCCUUUUACAGGGGGAUAGCCUUUCGAAAGAGAGAUUAAUACCCCAUAAUAGUUGACCGGGCAUCUGGUUGAUUUGAAAGCUCCGGCGGUAAGAGAUGAGUAUGCGCCUGAUUAGCUAGUAGGUGAGGUAACGGCUCACCUAGGCUACGAUCAGUAGGGGAUCUGAGAGGACUAACCCCCACACGGAUACUGAGACACGGAUCCGACUCCUACGGGAGGCAGCAGUAAGGAAUAUUGGACAAUGCCCGCAAGGGUGAUCCAGCCAUGCCGCGUGCAGGAAGAAGGCCCUAUGGGUCGUAAACUGCUUUUACACCGGAGAAAACCUCCCCUCGUGAGGGGAGCUGAUAGUAUGGUGAGAAUAAGCAUCGGCUAACUUCGUGCCAG
This 487-nucleotide ribosomal RNA is filed under the name uncultured bacterium. Its description in RNAcentral is "bacterial SSU rRNA". It matches the Rfam family "Bacterial small subunit ribosomal RNA", at positions 28 to 511 of the family's 1533-position model. The record is from RNAcentral.